UACAGAGGGGGCAAGCGUUGUUCGGAAUUACUGGGCGUAAAGGGCGCGUAGGCGGCCUUCUAAGUCGAACGUGAAAUCCCCGGGCUCAACCCGGGAACUGCGUCCGAGACUGAAAGGCUUGAAUCCGGGAGAGGGAUGUGGAAUUCCAGGUGUAGCGGUGAAAUGCGUAGAUAUCUGGAGGAACAUCGGUGGCGAAGGCGGGUCUCUGGGCCGUAACUGACGCUGAGGAGCGAAAGCAUGGGGAGCGAACAGG
This 253-nucleotide ribosomal RNA is filed under the name uncultured bacterium. Its description in RNAcentral is "partial 16S ribosomal RNA". It matches the Rfam family "Bacterial small subunit ribosomal RNA", at positions 524 to 776 of the family's 1533-position model. The record is from RNAcentral.